UGGGGAAUUUUGGACAAUGGGCGAAAGGCCUGAUCCAGCAAUGCCGCGUGUGUGAAGAAGGCCUUCGGGUUGUAAAGCACUUUUGUCCGGAAAGAAAUCCUUGGCUCUAAUACAGUCGGGGGAUGACGGUACCGGAAGAAUAAGCACCGGCUAACUACGUGCCAGCAACCGCGGUAAUAGCGUAGGGUGCAAGCGUUAAUCGGAAUUACUGGGCGUAAAGCGUGCGCAGGCGGUUUGCUAAGACCGAUGUGAAAUCCCCGGGCUCAACCUGGGAACUGCAUUGGUGACUGGCAGGCUAGAGUAUGGCAGAGGGGGGUAGAAUUCCACGUGUAGCAGUGAAAUGCGUAGAGAUGUGGAGGAAUACCGAUGGCGAAGGCAGCCCCCUGGGCCAAUACUGACGCUCAUGCACGAAAGCGUGGGGAGC
RNAcentral lists this ribosomal RNA (424 nucleotides) under uncultured bacterium. RNAcentral's name for it is "partial 16S ribosomal RNA". It matches the Rfam family "Bacterial small subunit ribosomal RNA", at positions 355 to 769 of the family's 1533-position model. The record is from RNAcentral.